UCUCUUUGAGAUCUUUGCUAGGAUAUAUACAAAGUAUAUUUCCUAUCUCAAAAUAAUUUCGAACUCAGUUGGCUGGUGCUCCUGGAUAAAAAUUUAUCUUGUUGUAUUUUGAAUAGUGGAGAGUUUUCAUCCACUUUCCAAUCUCCAGAUACCAAUCUGAUAAAAUAUUGAAAAUAACAAUAAAGAGUGUUACUUCUUCAUGGUUAUCUUUUCU
This 214-nucleotide long non-coding RNA is filed under the name Olea europaea (common olive). Its description in RNAcentral is "long non-coding RNA (OEUR_LNC007479)". The record is from RNAcentral. Lineage: Eukaryota; Viridiplantae; Streptophyta; Magnoliopsida; Lamiales; Oleaceae.